Molecule: long non-coding RNA, 1789 nt
Organism: Peromyscus californicus insignis
Lineage: Eukaryota; Metazoa; Chordata; Mammalia; Rodentia; Cricetidae
Exons: 2
Source: RefSeq, a predicted model, not a curated record
CUGAAGCUGGUCCCUGCGCGGGCCAGGGCUGCGGUUUCCAUCUUGAGCUGGUGUCCCUUGAAACUUUUCCAAGUGUCCGCACGACUUACCUUUCCCUGACUUCCCGAAUGUCCCACACCGCAAAACGAGCUGGGCGAGGAGUUUAGGAAUUCAGGGCACCCCAAAUGUUCGAGCCAAGAGUUUUGUUGGUUUCCCACCAGUGUGCGGAGGCGUGGGGGCGACCAGGAAAACUUUUUGGUUUUGUUUUUUUUUUUUUUUUUCCUCCGGGAGAGCCUGGCCUGGCGGGGGCGAGCGCAUCAAGAUUUAGCGCGCGGCGCGCGUGUAGACACGCGUGCUGGGCCGGCAGCCGGCGCUCUCCCGGUAGGUAGGUGGGGGGCAUCGCGAAAAAGACCACUGCCUGGGCAGACCCCGUUUAAGCAGACCUAGAUGGGGCGCUUCGUUCACACACAUCCGAUCUUUAAACUUAGUACAGAAAAACCCAGACUUUGCAUGGGCGCCUCUUCCUCCGGCUCACAAAAGUAAAAGAGCAACGAGUCACUUUCCACGCGCGCUUUGAAUCUGGGCUACCUCCUCCACACAUCCCCGAAUGUUAAAAACAAGAAGAAGAAGAAGAAGAAAAAAAAAAAGCUACUUUGGUAAGAAGGAAGGUAGAGGUGGGGGAAGCGACACUUGUAACUUCUUGCUGCUCUCCCGCCCCCACGCGAACGGAACAUAUGGCUUGUCACGACGCCCUGUUUGGGGGUGCCAAGCCAUGGGACCCACGGAACCCAAAGGCCUUCAAUGAAUUAUUCCGCCCUUAAAAACCGCGAACGAUGUGUUUAUUUACUAUUAGGUUUGGCUGCCUCCCACCCGCACCCGCUCGCUUGCCGGAGUGGAGACCCGGGCGGAAAUCGCCGGCCGCGCCGCCCGGGCCUCGCACGUUUCUUCCCAGCACUCGAGGCCGCCGGGUCUGUUAUGAAACCCGGUGAGCCGAGUGGCUAGGAGCGAGUUCCAUUGCGAUGUAAUUAGGUCACCCCAUUACGGGUACGUUUCUCUGGAAAGGACGGAGCGGGCGGAGCAGAGCCGCACCACCCCUUACACACACGCACACUUUUUUUUUUUUUUUAAACUGCAUUUAUUUAUCGCCAACCUCUGGGCAAACCCAGGGAAACUUUCCAAAUCACAACAGUUUUAGAAACCAGUUUUGUUUUUUUUUUUUCAACUUUGCGAAACACACGACUUUUUUGCUGCAGCCCACGAACCUAACGUAAUUCCCUGCGGGGUCUCUGCUUGACUCGUCUCCAACAAUUUGAGUUGAUGGCCCCCAUUUUUAACCCGGCUGCGGCUCCUGGCUUUUUCUGCUUGCUGCUGUCCAGCCGCCGGUUGCUUCCCUCCCCCGCUCCCAUUUUUCAUCUUUUCUUGAAAUCUGGCAAGCGCCGGGAAGGGAAAUAACUUCCAUCCACCUUAAUUUAAAUCAUUCGGAUGUGUAGGUUUCUUUUUAAAGGGAGGUUUGCUCGCUCCCCUCCCCAGCUCCAAGGGGGUUGGGGGGUGUGUGUGUGCGGAUUCCGUGCAGUUUCUCGGUGAUGAGGUAAUGAGUUCCAGAUUUCGGGACAGAACAGGGUGCGUUAAAAACCACAAGCGCGAUUCCUCGAAUUUCCUGCGCCUUCCCAGCUCCCCUGGGCCUCCCCUCCCCCGUUCCCCGGGGCGCUGGCUCCGCGCUCGCUCCCCGGUUGUUUACCCCGCCCCGCCGACCGCCCGGGUUUGUUCCUGCUCCCAGAGCCCGUCUCUAUAAUUAAACUCUUUUUUUUUU